Molecule: ribosomal RNA, 468 nt
Filed under: uncultured bacterium
Lineage: Bacteria
Description: partial 16S ribosomal RNA
Rfam family: Bacterial small subunit ribosomal RNA
Source: RNAcentral
GACGAACGCUGGCGGCGUGCUUAACACAUGCAAGUCGAACGGAAAGGCCCUGCUUUUGUGGGGUGCUCGAGUGGCGAACGGGUGAGUAACACGUGAGUAACCUGCCCUUGACUUUGGGAUAACUUCAGGCAUCUGGGGCUAAUACCGGAUAGGAGCUCCUGCUGCAUGGUGGGGGUUGGAAGGUUUCGGCGGUUGGGGAUGGACUCGCGGCUUAUCAGCUUGUUGGUGGGGUAGUGGCUUACCAAGGCUUUGACGGGUAGCCGGCCUGCGAGGGUGACCGGCCAAAUUGGGAUGGAGAUACGGCCCAGACUCCAACGGGAGGCAGCAGAGGGGAAGAGUGCACAAGGGGCGGAAGCCUGAUGCAGCAACGCAGCGUGCGGGAUGAGGGCCUUCGGGUUGGAAACCGCUUUCGCCUGUGACGAAGCGUGAGUGACGGUAAUGGGUAAAGAAGCACCGGCUAACUACGUG